GAAGAGUAUGGAUGGAACUACAAGUGUAUGGAAUUUUACAACAGAGGAAGUUUCAAAGGUUAUGGUUGUGGCUAAAGGUUGAAGAGGGGGGGUGAACGUAAGGAAUUUCAUGGUGGUGACAGGCGGUUCGCGGUGGCUUCCGCGGCCAAGGGCGACAAUGGUGAUAUUCGAUGGUGGUUGUGGUUGUUAUUGUAAGAAGUUUGUGCAGGUGGUGG
This 215-nucleotide long non-coding RNA is filed under the name Lathyrus oleraceus (garden pea). RNAcentral's name for it is "Pisum sativum (pea) long non-coding RNA (PSAT_LNC026686)". The record is from RNAcentral. Lineage: Eukaryota; Viridiplantae; Streptophyta; Magnoliopsida; Fabales; Fabaceae.